UACGGAAGGGGCAAGCGUUGUUCGGAAUCAUUGGGCGUAAAGGGCGCGUAGGUGGUUCUGUAUGUCUACCGUGAAAGCAUACAGCUCAACUGUAUUUUGUCGGUAGAAACUGCAGGACUUGAGGCUGGGAGGGGCUGGUGGAAUUCCCUGUGUAGCGGUGAAAUGCGUAGAGAUGGGGGAGAACACUCGUGGCGAAGGCGGCCAGCUAGACCAGAUCUGACACUGAGGCGCGACAGCGUGGGGAGCAAACAGG
This 253-nucleotide ribosomal RNA is filed under the name uncultured bacterium. RNAcentral's name for it is "partial 16S ribosomal RNA". It matches the Rfam family "Bacterial small subunit ribosomal RNA", at positions 524 to 776 of the family's 1533-position model. The record is from RNAcentral.